This 156-nucleotide ribosomal RNA is filed under the name Autographa gamma (silver Y moth). RNAcentral describes it as "partial large subunit ribosomal RNA". Lineage: Eukaryota; Metazoa; Arthropoda; Insecta; Lepidoptera; Noctuidae. The record is from RNAcentral.
UUUUAUAAUUAAAUUAAUUGAAAUUAUUUAUAAAUAUCAAAAAUUUUAAUUAAAUUAAUUAUUUUAUUGGGGUGAUAGAAAAAUUAAAAUAACUUUUUUUUUAAAAAACCAAAUAUAAUUGAGUAUAUGAUCCAAUUUUAUUGAUUAUAAGAAAAA